GUCGUUACAGUCUUUGCACUCUUUUCUUCGCUUUUACUGCUGUUCUGUGCCUCACAAGGACAAGUUUGUUGUUUGGCACACGCGCACACAGGAGCAGAUUGGAACUAGCUUGUCGUGGGCGCGUCACCACUUUUCGUUCGGUUCGCGAGGGAAGCUACAAUAUUGCUCGUUGCCUCUCCUCUUUUUUUUUCGCGGAAGUCUUCAUUUCACAUUGCGCCCGUUGGCGCCUUCAGUGCUCACUCUGCUUGGGGAGAGGGAAGGUGAGUCAAACAACCGAUUGGUCAGCUGUGUUUGCCCUCCUCGCCGCCAGCUCUUUCUCUUGAGUUGUUUCUUUUACGCAUCCACUGGUGCUGGUCACCUCAUCUGACCCCCUCAGAGAGAAAGGCAAUUUAGGGAGACAAUGCACGUGGUGCCUGGCGAGCCUGUGCGCCGCCGAAACAGCAGCGCAAGUGUUCGCUCCUCCUCGGCGGUAGCUGCCGUUGGUCGCGGUAACAGACGCCGAGGGGGCAGCUCUGGUGUUGGUCGCAAGCACCUCCUCUCGCUCAUCCCGCAGCGUCGCGUUCUCGCCCUGCUGUGCCUUGGGGUUGUGUUGCUGAUCUCGUUCGUGUGGGUUGCGCAUCGCAACAGCGAAACAAGCGGGAGAAACCUGAAGUGGUGGUGGACGCUUUCGUGGUUGGAAACAAAGACCUUUUCCAUCUCCUCCCCUGCCCCUCACCUCACCCCCACCCCUGCAACAG
RNAcentral lists this unclassified non-coding RNA (737 nucleotides) under Leishmania donovani. Its description in RNAcentral is "gene:unknown". The record is from RNAcentral. Lineage: Eukaryota; Euglenozoa; Kinetoplastea; Trypanosomatida; Trypanosomatidae.